This 458-nucleotide ribosomal RNA is filed under the name uncultured bacterium. RNAcentral's name for it is "partial 16S ribosomal RNA". It matches the Rfam family "Bacterial small subunit ribosomal RNA", at positions 355 to 803 of the family's 1533-position model. The record is from RNAcentral.
UGGGGAAUAUUGCACAAUGGGCGCAAGCCUGAUGCAGCCAUGCCGCGUGUGUGAAGAAGGCCUUCGGGUUGUAAAGCACUUUCAGCGAGGAGGAAGGUGGUGAGCUUAAUACGCUCAUCAAUUGACGUUACUCGCAGAAGAAGCACCGGCUAACUCCGUGCCAGCAGCCGCGGUAAUACGGAGGGUGCAAGCGUUAAUCGGAAUUACUGGGCGUAAAGCGCACGCAGGCGGUUUGUUAAGUCAGAUGUGAAAUCCCCGGGCUCAACCUGGGAACUGCAUUUGAAACUGGCAAGCUAGAGUCUCGUAGAGGGGGGCUAGAAUUCCAGGUGUAGCGGUGAAAUGCGUAGAGAUCUGGAGGAAUACCGGUGGCGAAGGCGGCCCCCCUGGANGAAGACUGACGCUCAGGUGCGAAAGCGUGGGGCAGCAAACAGAUUAGAUACCCUGGUAGUCCACGCUGU